This 467-nucleotide ribosomal RNA is filed under the name Batrachuperus londongensis (Longdong stream salamander). RNAcentral's name for it is "partial 16S ribosomal RNA". It matches the Rfam family "Bacterial large subunit ribosomal RNA", at positions 1969 to 2594 of the family's 2925-position model. Lineage: Eukaryota; Metazoa; Chordata; Amphibia; Caudata; Hynobiidae. The record is from RNAcentral.
UUGUCUUUUAAAUAAAGACCAGUAUGAAUGGCAAGACGAAAGUUCAACUGUCUCCCUAAAUUAAUCAAUGAAAUUGAUCUUCCCGUGCAGAAGCGGGAAUAAAAUUAUAAGACGAGAAGACCCUAUGGAGCUUUAAAUAUAUGAUCAACUGUAUAAUAUAAAAUUCGAUAGAUUAAAUAUUUAAUAAAACAUUAUGAUCAAAAUUUUAGGUUGGGGCGACCACGGAGAAAAACAAAACCUCCGAGAUGAAAAGAAUAUCUUAAUUUAUGAAUUACAGUUCUAAUAAAUAAAAUAUUUAACAUAAUUGAUCCAAUAUUUUUGAUCAACGAACUAAGUUACCCUAGGGAUAACAGCGCAAUCCUUUCCAAGAGUCCCUAUCGACGAAUGGGUUUACGACCUCGAUGUUGGAUCAGGACACCCCAAUGGUGCAGCCGCUAUUAAAGGUUCGUUUGUUCAACGAUUAAAGU